This 597-nucleotide long non-coding RNA is filed under the name Nicotiana benthamiana. Its description in RNAcentral is "long non-coding RNA (NBEN_LNC010432)". The record is from RNAcentral. Lineage: Eukaryota; Viridiplantae; Streptophyta; Magnoliopsida; Solanales; Solanaceae.
UGGUACACGGACAAGAAUAUUUCCUGGAUGCAUGUCAGCAUGCAUAAAGUUGUCAACCUGAAAGAAAGAGGUGCAUCUUAGGUCCAGAAAAAUAUCCGACACACAGAAAUGUCACUUGGAUUAACAUCUAAGCUUUCACAUAAUAUUAGGAAACAGCAAAACCACAUAGAUAUUCGUACCACAGACAUGUAACAUCCUUGCUCUAAGCGUGUGUAGACCUGUAUCUGUGUCCAAUAUUCUCAUCUCAGUCUUAUGUAGAAAAAGACGAACCCAUGAUACUAAGGAAUAUCAAAUAAUCUUGAUUUAUUGUCAUGUUCGAACAGAGUCUUCCACAUGUGAAAGAAAAAUGAGAAUCUUAUUCUUAUUUUGAGCAAAAUCCAACUAUACCAUAGAUAUCUUAGGUCCAGAAAAAUAUCUGACACCACAGAAAUGUCACUUGGAUUAACAUCUAAGCUUUCACAUAAUAUUACGAAAUUGCAAAGAUCUUUGGCACUCUGCCAGCUCUCAAUACCGAGUAAAUCGAGGCCUCCCAGCACACAAGUUACAGCCUAUCGUUUAUUUUGAAAGCAACAUUCAGAACAUUAGUGUGAAGCCAGU